This 400-nucleotide ribosomal RNA is filed under the name uncultured bacterium. Its description in RNAcentral is "bacterial SSU rRNA". It matches the Rfam family "Bacterial small subunit ribosomal RNA", at positions 975 to 1375 of the family's 1533-position model. The record is from RNAcentral.
CUACCCUUGACAUGUCUGGAAUUGCGCAGAGAUGUGCAAGUGCCCGAAAGGGAGCCAGAACACAGGUGCUGCAUGGCUGUCGUCAGCUCGUGUCGUGAGAUGUUGGGUUAAGUCCCGCAACGAGCGCAACCCUUGUCAUUAGUUGCUACAUUCAGUUGGGCACUCUAAUGAGACUGCCGGUGACAAACCGGAGGAAGGUGGGGAUGACGUCAAGUCCUCAUGGCCCUUAUGGGUAGGGCUACACACGUCAUACAAUGGCCGGUACAAAGGGUUGCCAACCCGCGAGGGGGAGCUAAUCCCAUAAAACCGGUCGUAGUCCGGAUCGUAGUCUGCAACUCGACUGCGUGAAGUCGGAAUCGCUAGUAAUCGUGGAUCAGCAUGUCACGGUGAAUACGUUCCC